GACGUGUGCCUGGCGGGGCUGCGGCCAGUGAGUGCGGCCCAGGCCUGGAGCACGUGGGGAGAGGAGCUGACAUCCCAGAGAUGGGCUGCGAAGGAGCCAGAAGGACCCAGGAUGGUGACUAGGUUUCCUGAGCAGCUGGGUGGGUGGUGGCGUCUGUGGAGGAACAAAAUUUGAGGGGAGAACAGUGCUUCUCUUGGAGGCGUUUAAUUUGAGAAGCCUUUCAGACUCUCCCGUGGAGACAUGCAGGCAGCGGGCUGUGAGAGCCCAGCUCGAGGGUGGGGGAGCUCAGGCGCAGAGAAGCCGGGAGUCCUCAGCAGAGACAGGAAAUCUCUGUCUCCAUAACUCCAAGGACCUGGGGGAGGGUUGGGCCACUGUCCUGUCAUCAUGGGAUCUGACGGUUUGCAGUCGCGGUCCCUAUCCUAUGAUGGUGUGUAAGGCUGUUUCUUUUAUUUAGUUUGUUCAAGGAAAUUUUGAGCUAAUUAGCGGUAUGUACUAAAUGCUGAAAACAUCAAUAUCACUUCACCCAGUGGUUCUGCCUCUAGAAAUACAUGCUUUUAAACGUCCAAAAUGUGGAAAAAUAUAUAUUCAAGGUGAAUAUCAUCAAUACGUUAUUUACGAUAUGUAGAUUAAAAAAAAUCUCAGACCCAAAGCCAGCUUUAGUAUCGAACAGCAGGAUAUUUAAGCAAAUAUUACAUCGUUAAUAAAUGUUAUGAAAACUAGUUUUUUAAAAAAGAAAGAGAAAGAAAAUAUUGAACUAAAUGCUGUGUUCCACGCAGCAGACAGACUGGGGGCUCUUUGAGGGCAGGGAGUAUCUCCAGCAGAGAAGACAGAUCUCUCCAUCAGAAUUACGUCAGGAGUUCCACCAGGAAUUGAGGCCAACGUGACACCUUCUGUGACAGGGACAAAGAGGGCAGUGGGGACAUAGCAGGGGCACUGACCUGGUCUGGGGUGGACCGAGGGGGUUUCAGCCGCCCCCGGAGCAGAGCCGUCUGGGGAAGCGUACUUCAGAGGGAACGGGGUGGUGGAAGGGCCGGCAGGAGGUAUUGGAGUGAAAAUGAACAAAACUCUUUCUUGGAGCUGGUGGAGGCACUCAGGGAUUCCGUGUAAUGGUAAUGUUCAUGGGGGUUGAUGAUACUGGUUUCAUGGUUACUUGCUUGCACGCAGGGAGAUUUGUUAGUUAUUAGGAACUUCCAUUGCUCUGUGCUCAGUGUUAUUUUGGGGCAAGAAAUAGAAUGUGAAAUUGGCGGUGCAUGUGACCUCGGUUACACCUUGUGUGCGUUAUUUCAAAGAACCAGGGCACAGUUUUUUGCAUGAAAGGCGCUGUGUUGUUAUCAGAGGAAAACAGCUCUCUCAUUUCACCAGCGUUAGUGUUAACUUUAUAGAAUUUAAACACAGCAGUGGGUGUGUUCAUGUACAUUCACAGUAUCAGGACCCCAAAUUGGAUACGACUCUGUUAUAGAUUGAAUAGCAACACAUUAUUUUUUUUUCCUUGAGUAAUCUCAUAGAAUUUUAAGGAAGCUGUUUUUAGUUUUCCUGAGGUUAUUUUUCUAGAGUUUCCUAAAGUGUAUUCUUCCAAAGAGCUGACGCCUUGGUUGGGAUGCGGCUGUGAAGGCACCGCACCCUUGUUCGCAGAGGGAGAUGCACGAAGGUGUGCUGACAGCGGGCGACCACUCCGGCUAGAGGUGCGAGGGACCAGGACUGGGUUGUUGAUCAUCCCGGUGGGAGCUGUUCGUGGGACAAGUUCCCUGCAGCCCGCCUGUCUCCCCGCAGUCCUGGCUGAGCAAAACUGGCCCAGCAGGGAGGAACCCGGCUCAGGAUGACUCUGGGAGCACUUGGCGGGUCCCACCGCGUCUGAGCUGCAGUGGGACGGGUCCCGGGGAAGCUGGAGGGAAGGCAGCGGCCAGUGGCCCAGGUGGAAGUGUGUGGGCAACUGGGGAGCACCUGUUCUUCUCUCGGGCUGUUUCACGUCAGUGGGUGGGGGCAGCAGUCGGCCACGUAGGACUCCACUGGCGGAGUUGUCUCCCAGAUGUGCAGGCCUAUCCCUCUUUCUGGUCCAGGUCGGAAGUCCCCUCUUCCAAGAACUGCUUCCCUGUCCCUCCCAGGAAGUCAUCUCGCCCCUCCCGGGACCCCUGGUCCUCUAGCUGGUCUGUAAGUGCUGUGCCCCCCCCGCCCCCCACCCCCCGGCUCUGACCCUGAGGUCCGGGCUGGGGAGGGGUGCCCAGGCCACUUCGGAGCUCUCCUUCGGUGGAGAAGGAGUAGAUGGGGAUCCUCUUUGCUUUGUUUUCCUGCUCUUAUAAGGGGGUACGGCUUGUUUUGACACGUGUUCAUUUCUGAAAAGUCUGCGAAGUCUGUAGAUCGUGUGAGGUUAUUGUCACCAAUGGGAACUUUUUCUUUUCAGACAACGUGGAGGCAAGUGAUCUCAAGCAGUUUUUUGAGACCAACUAUUCUCAGAUCUAUUUCAUCUUCUAUGAAAAUUUUAUAACACUGGAAAAUAGUUUGAAAUUAAAAGGGAAUAAUAAGUCACAAAGGGAGGAGCUGGACUCCAUCCUCUUUCUUUUUGAAUAAAAAGCCAUUUCUCCAUGUUAUACACCAAGCAUAGAAUCCUAAGUCAAGAACACCCGUCUGUGUUUCGGAAAGUUGAAAAGCGUGGUUUGGUGCCAUUUUCUUCCUUGGAUGCGUCCCGUCCAAGGUAAGAUCUGUCCUGAAGCUGUAACUUUCUCAGAGCCUGCUGUACGGAAUUUUUAGAUUAAGUGGCAGGUGAGAUCAGAAGAUGAUCCCAGGAUGUAGGUGGAACACCAGGUCCCCCUGGAGGUGGAAGCAUGAGAGGAGAGGACUCGGAGUCCCUGCUGUGCCGAUCCCGGGGAGAGUGGCCCGGACGGAAGGAGGCGGAAAAUGUGCCGAGGACCCCGUGGCGCCCGGCUUCCAUCUCUGCGGGGCUGCCGCCAGCUGAUGAGAACAAAGCAGCAGAGACCGUGUCCCCGCGGCAGCACUUCCGCGUCUUGAUCUGAUGACAGUGUUCUCAUUAAUAACGUGAAGAUGACUGUGGCUGCCAGAGAAGUCCUGCCCUCACCCCCUCAGGCCCAGCUGCAGGGAGUGGGCUCAGCGGGCAGCCCCCAGCUGUCAAGGCCAUCUUCAGCUUCCCAGCCCCGGUCAUGCCCCUCCCAGCACGUCCCCAGCCAGUGACUGAGCAAGGCGGUGGCACAGGGCCUGGCCGUCUCAGGCUCGCGGGGCCCCCCUGAUGGGCCGUCUGUGCUCUGGAGCUCCUGCACGGCUUGCCAGCUCUGUGCGGUGGUCUGGGGCUCCCCGACAGACCCUGCCGCCUUGUUUCUCUUUUACAGACGCUGCUCCCCAGUAAACCGUUGGCCCUCCCAACUGCACGCAGAGCCUGUUUCCCAGAGAACCCAGCCUGCAACGAUUAUCAGUCAUUAUCAAACGUGCUGAGCUAGUCUCCGUAGUGAAUAUUUCAGGAAAGAGAAAGUGUGAGUUAAAGAAUCACAAAGCUUAACAGCACUAUUUACAACAGCCAAGACACAGAAGCAACCAGCAUCCAUCAACAGAUGAGUGGAUAAAGGAGAUGUGAUGUGAAUACACACAUUUACUGCAGCAUGGCUGACCUGGAGGGCACUGCGCUGAGUGAAAUGAGUCAGAGAAAGACAGACCCUGCGUGGUGUCGCUCGUAUGUGGGAUAGAAAUACGACAAACUGGCGGAAAAAACAAAACAAAACAAAAGAAGAAGCAGCCUCGCAGCUAUAGGGAGCAAACUCGUUGUUACCAGUGGGGAGAGGGAGUCGGGGGAAGGGUUAUUAUGGGGUCAUGUGAAAUCAAGUGCGCGAAACUUCUGAAAAUCGGAAAGUCCUAUAGAAUUUAAAGGACCGUUUGUUUAAAAAUAAAUAAAUGAAUAAAUAAAUUUUGAUUGGGACAGAAAAAGAAUCAUAAAACUUAGGCCUGAGCAGAAGCUUUCUCUCUUGAGUCUGGAGACUCCCACCCAUCCCAGCUGUGCUUUUUCAGGGCUCAGAGUUGCUCGUUUGGUUUGGCAGCGACCUGACUGCUGAGACCCUCGUCCACAUCCUCAGCUCCAGGCUCUGGUCCCCUUGGACCAGCCUCCUUGCCUGUGACAUUUUCCUGCAGCCUCUGGGUGGCGCUCUGGUUCCCACUGCCGCUUGCGCCUUCUGCACCUCGCCGGGCUCUUCCGGUUGACCUGCUGGUGGGACAGUGCUUGCACUGGUUCCUGUCACCAUAUGCUGUGGAGAGCUGACUUCUGUUUUCCACUUCUUCUGAUUUCCUUUUAACGUAAUGGAACUUGACAAAACACAAUCUAGUUUUCACAU
Non-coding RNA from Vicugna pacos (alpaca), 4328 nucleotides. Lineage: Eukaryota; Metazoa; Chordata; Mammalia; Artiodactyla; Camelidae. The record is from RefSeq and is a predicted model, not a curated record.